Molecule: ribosomal RNA, 488 nt
Filed under: uncultured bacterium
Lineage: Bacteria
Description: partial 16S ribosomal RNA
Rfam family: Bacterial small subunit ribosomal RNA
Source: RNAcentral
AUUGAACGCUGGCGGCAGGCCUAACACAUGCAAGUCGAACGGUAACAGGAAGCAGCUUGCUGCUUCGCUGACGAGUGGCGGACGGGUGAGUAAUGUCUGGGAAGCUGCCUGAUGGAGGGGGAUAACUACUGGAAACGGUAGCUAAUACCGCAUAAUGUCGCAAGACCAAAGGGGGACCUUCGGGCCUCUUGCCAUCGGAUGUGCCCAGAUGGGAUUAGCUUGUUGGUGGGGUAACGGCUCACCAAGGCGACGAUCCCUAGCUGGUCUGAGAGGAUGACCAGCCACACUGGAACUGAGACACGGUCCAGACUCCUACGGGAGGCAGCAGUGGGGAAUAUUGCACAAUGGGCGCAAGCCUGAUGCAGCCAUGCCGCGUGUAUGAAGAAGGCCUUCGGGUUGUAAAGUACUUUCAGCGGGGAGGAAGGGAGUAAAGUUAAUACCUUUGCUCAUUGACGUUACCCGCAGAAGAAGCACCGGCUAACUCCGUG